Long non-coding RNA from Catharus ustulatus (Swainson's thrush), 3346 nucleotides. RefSeq lists it as uncharacterized. NCBI's taxonomy places the organism in Eukaryota, Metazoa, Chordata, Aves, Passeriformes, Turdidae. The transcript has 5 exons. The record is from RefSeq and is a predicted model, not a curated record.
GUCAUCUGGUCCAAAUUCCCUGCUCCAACAGGGUCAUCCUAAAGCACACAGCACAGGAUUGUGUCCAGAUGGUUCUUGAAUAUCUUCAGUGAGGGACACUCCACAGCCGAUCUGGACAGCCUGUCCCAGUGCUUAGUCACCCACACAGUGAAGAGGUUAUUCCUCAUAUUGAGGUAAAACAUCCUGUGUGUUGGUUUCUGCCCAUUUUAUUCCUUGACACCACCAAGAGCCUGGCUCUGUCCUCUUGACACUCUUCCUUCAGAUACUUCUAGACAUCAGUGAGGUCCCCUCUCUGUUGUCUUUUCUUGAGGCCUCUUAAGAGAGAUGCUCCAGCCCCUUAAUCAUCUUUGUUGCCCCCCCUCUGGACUCACUCCAGGAGCUCUGUGUGUCUCUAGUGCUAAGUAUCCCAGAACUGGACAGAGCGCUCCAGAUGUGCCUCACCAGGGCUGAGUGGAGGGGCAGGAUGACUUCCCUUGAUCUGCUGAAAAUACUCUUCCUAAUUCAUCCCAGGAAACCAUUUGCCCUCUUGGCCCCAAGGGCACACUGCUGGGUCAUGGACAGCUUGUUGUCUGCCAGGACCUCCAGGUCCUCCACAGAGCUGCUUUUCAGCAGGUCAGCCCCCUGCCUGUGCUGGUGCCUGAGGUUAUUCCUCCCUGGGUGCAGGACUCUGCAUUUGCCUUUGUUGAAUUUCAGAAAGUUCUUCUCUGCCCAUCUCUCCACCCUGCUGAGUCCCUCUGGGGUUUCACCCACUAUUCCCAGCUUUGUGUCAUCAGGGAACUUGCUGAGGAGGCCUCUGCCCUUUCAUCUGAGUCACUGAUGAACAAGUUAAACAAUACUGGGCUCAGUAUUGAACCCUGGGGGGCACCACAAGUGACAGGCCUCCAACUGGGCCGUGUGCACUUAUUACAGCCCUUUGUGAUGUGCCAUUCAGGCAGCUCUCAAUCCACCUCCCUGUGCACUCAUCCAGUCCACAAGAGACAGUGCUGACAGCUUUGCUGAAGUCAAGGUGGACAAUAACCACUGCUCUCUCCUCAUCUGUUCAGGAAUGUGUUUCAUUACAGAAGUUACUCAGGUUGAUCAAGUGUGUUUUACCUUUAGAGAAUCCCUGCUGACAACUCCUGAUCACAUCCUUGUCAACUAUACAGAUAGAGAUUACCUUUAGGAUGAGGCAAUCAUCAUCAUCUUUCUAGGGACUGAGGUUAGGCUGACAGCUCAUAGUUCCCUGGGUCCUGCUUCUUGCUCUUUUUGAAAACUGGGGUGACAUUUGAUUUCUUACUGUCCUCAGACCCAUCCUCUGGUUAUCAUGACCAUUCAAAGAUUAUGGACCUGUUAGCCAUGGAGAAGUUGCAUGGCUGCAGUUGAGCUGAAGACUUCUGGAAGGGGAACUUGUUGGGGCAGUUCCAAAGGAUCCUGCAUAUUUUCUUCCUGCAGUAGAACGCUGUGAAAUUCAGGUAGCACUAGUACUGAGACUGUCACAUAAAAUUCAUGGUGUGGUUCACAAAAGUGCCUUGGAAACUGAGAAUAAGGCAAGGAGCUCUGGUUUGGACAAGGACAUCAGCCUUGUAAGCUGUAUUUUUGGCUGCCAAACCCAGUCUACAGAGAGGCCCCAAGACUGCUGCUGACCAACCAUGUGAUACGGGCAGAGAAGCAGAUUAUUUCAGUCUUGCUUCAGCACAAGCAUGAACAAACAGAGCUGGAACAGGAAAGUCCCUCCUGCCUGGAGAAGCUAUAGAAGACUCUGCCUCUUUAAAUUUUCUGAGUCAAAAACAGAGGCAUCAAGGAAGUUUCAUUGCUUCAAGAAUGAAGGCUGCCUGAGCAGUUUUUGGGAUUGCAGAUGUUUUGAACUAUGCCGAUGAAAGUCUUGCACAGGAAGUAAGUUCCUAUUUUAAAACAAGGCUGCAAUAUUGUUUGCCUGCGAAGAAACAAAGGUUACAUGUUUCAAAAGUUUGCACAAAAUAUCACUCCAUCAUCAAUGCAAGCUCAGAAGAAACAGCUGUUCCCUGUACAUUGAUUUUAGUUAAACCAACACAAAGUGCUUCUGAUACUUGCAAAUACCUCUUGCAGAGCCCAACAUCACAUACUUGAUAGUAUAAUUUCUUUCUAGGUUUUUGAUGUUCAGAAAAAGAUUUGGGAAGAUGUAUAGCCUCUAGUGAUGUCCAUCAUAAAAUUAAAGAAUAGUCUCAGUUCAGUAAUGAUACUGUAAUUCAGAGUCCAGAAAAUUUUUGUGGCAUUCAUGCAUUUUUCCAUGCCUUCACACAUUUGACUUUAUUUCAAGCAUGAUAGCAGCAAUUAAGUAUUUUAAGUAUAUAAUGCUUGCUUGUUUUCAUUAAUAUAGCCUUUUAAUAUGUUAACUAUAAAUUAUAAUCAUUAAAUUUUCAUGAAUGCGGUUUGGGGAUAAAAUUGGUUUGGGGUCUUUAUUUUCAUUCUGAGAGAUAAAGAAAUUAUUAUAGUAAAAGUCUUCAAGCACAGAAGUUGAAGACCUUGAAGACCAGCUUAGACCUUUGGAGAAGUUGGGAAUUGAUAAAAGCUUGUUCUUCGUACAUUGGCAUACCUUUUUGUAGUAGUUUCUUAUUCUUAGUUACUUUCAAGCUACUGAAGAAUAUGAAACAUUUGAACAUUGAAACAAAAUAGGCAGGAAGAGGGUGUAUCAUUUAAAGGGUGAUACUUAAUUGAGGAGAUGCACAACUCUUACUUAGUUCUCGGUUUUAGUAUAAAUAUAAUAUUCUCUGGAGAAGAUUAAGGAAGGUUAGGAAUAUUUCUAUCUAUAUUGCAGUCACUUUUCAUUAAAAGGUUGUAUGUAUACACUUUGCAAUAUUGUCUUUGAUUACUUAGCUGAAUGCUGUUAUUUCUUAAUCAGAAGGCAAAAGUGGGAGUUUUGCAUAUUUUAAAAAGAAAUUAAGACACGGUAAUUUUUUAACAAAGCUCAUUUGAAAGCUUGUAAUAACUAUAUUUCUUGGAAUAAUUUUACUCAUAAAAUGCUCAUUAAUAAUUUUCUGAACUUUAAAUUAAAUUAAAUUACAAUUAUGAUAUAAUUACCACAGAAUCACAUUAUUGUGGCAUUCUAUAGUGAUGCUUCCCCCAAAUAUUUCCCUGGUAUCUUAUCAGUAGCUUUGGGACCUAGAGGUAAUUAAUUUUUUUGCUUAAUAGCCCCUGUGAGAUUUUUUCCUCCAUAACUUUGUCUGAAACCAUUUUGAACCUGUACAAAAUUUUGUGAUUUACAACAUCAAUCCUUUUAUAUCACGUGGCAAUUAGUUCAGCAAACCUCAGCAUUUGCCCAGUAACUGAUUGCAGUAUUCAUUUGAAAGCUGUCUGGGUUCUCUUUCCAUGUCAUGACCACGACCCAUUU